GCGAAGGUAGCGCAAUCACUUGUCUUUUAAAUGAAGACCUGUAUGAAUGGCACGACGAGGGCUUAACUGUCUCCUUUUUCCAGUCAAUGAAAUUGAUCUUCCCGUGCAGAAGCGGGAAUAAUACCAUAAGACGAGAAGACCCUGUGGAGCUUUAGACACUGAAUCAGCCCUUGUCCAAAAUCCCAGUUAAGGCUAUGAACACUAGAGUGAGAUCUGAUUUAAUGUCUUCGGUUGGGGCGACCUUGGGGAAAGAAAAAUCCCCCAUGCGGAACGGAAAUACUAUGCUUCCAAAACUAAGAGCAACCACUCAAAGUAUCAAAAAUUUUGACCAACUAUACGAUCCGGCUAAACGCCGAUAAACGGAGCAAGUUACCCCA
This 377-nucleotide ribosomal RNA is filed under the name Amphiprion clarkii (yellowtail clownfish). RNAcentral describes it as "partial 16S rRNA". It matches the Rfam family "Bacterial large subunit ribosomal RNA", at positions 1950 to 2470 of the family's 2925-position model. Lineage: Eukaryota; Metazoa; Chordata; Actinopteri; Pomacentridae. The record is from RNAcentral.